Molecule: ribosomal RNA, 443 nt
Filed under: uncultured bacterium
Lineage: Bacteria
Description: partial 16S ribosomal RNA
Rfam family: Bacterial small subunit ribosomal RNA
Source: RNAcentral
CCUACGGGAGACAGCAGUGGGGAAUAUUGCACAAUGGGGGAAACCCUGAUGCAGCGACGCCGCGUGAGUGAAGAAGUAUUUCGGUACGUAAAGCUCUGUCAGCAGGGAAGAAAGAAAUGACGGUACCUGACCAAGAAGCCCCGGCUAACUACGCGCCAGCAGCCGCGGUAAUACGUAGGGGGCAAGCGUUAUCCGGAAUUACUGGGUGUAAAGGGAGCGUAGACGGUUAAGUAAGUCUGGAGUGAAAGGCCGGGGCCCAACCCCGGGACUGCUCUGGAAACUAUUGAACUUGAGUGCAGGAGAGGUAAGCGGAAUUCCUAGUGUAGCGGUGAAAUGCGUAGAUAUUAGGAGGAACACCAGUGGCGAAGGCGGCUUACUGGACUGUAACUGACGUUGAGGCUCGAAAGCGUGGGGAGCAAACAGGAUUAGAUACCCCUGUAGUC